Molecule: ribosomal RNA, 943 nt
Filed under: uncultured bacterium
Lineage: Bacteria
Description: bacterial SSU rRNA
Rfam family: Bacterial small subunit ribosomal RNA
Source: RNAcentral
GGGUAGCUUGCUACCUGACCUAGCGGCGGACGGGUGAGUAAUGCUUAGGAAUCUGCCUAUUAGUGGGGGACAACAUUCCGAAAGGAAUGCUAAUACCGCAUACGCCCUACGGGGGAAAGCAGGGGAUCUUCGGACCUUGCGCUAAUAGAUGAGCCUAAGUCAGAUUAGCUAGUUGGUGGGGUAAAGGCCUACCAAGGCGACGAUCUGUAGCGGGUCUGAGAGGAUGAUCCGCCACACUGGGACUGAGACACGGCCCAGACUCCUACGGGAGGCAGCAGUGGGGAAUAUUGGACAAUGGGCGAAAGCCUGAUCCAGCCAUGCCGCGUGUGUGAAGAAGGCCUUUUGGUUGUAAAGCACUUUAAGCGAGGAGGAGGCUACUUGGAUUAAUACUCUAGGAUAGUGGACGUUACUCGCAGAAUAAGCACCGGCUAACUCUGUGCCAGCAGCCGCGGUAAUACAGAGGGUGCGAGCGUUAAUCGGAUUUACUGGGCGUAAAGCGUGCGUAGGCGGCUUUUUAAGUCGGAUGUGAAAUCCCUGAGCUUAACUUAGGAAUUGCAUUCGAUACUGGGAAGCUAGAGUAUGGGAGAGGAUGGUAGAAUUCCAGGUGUAGCGGUGAAAUGCGUAGAGAUCUGGAGGAAUACCGAUGGCGAAGGCAGCCAUCUGGCCUAAUACUGACGCUGAGGUACGAAAGCAUGGGGAGCAAACAGGAUUAGAUACCCUGGUAGUCCAUGCCGUAAACGAUGUCUACUAGCCGUUGGGGCCUUUGAGGCUUUAGUGGCGCAGCUAACGCGAUAAGUAGACCGCCUGGGGAGUACGGUCGCAAGACUAAAACUCAAAUGAAUUGACGGGGGCCCGCACAAGCGGUGGAGCAUGUGGUUUAAUUCGAUGCAACGCGAAGAACCUUACCUGGUCUUGACAUAGUAAGAACUUCCAGAGAUGGAUG